This 468-nucleotide ribosomal RNA is filed under the name uncultured bacterium. RNAcentral describes it as "partial 16S ribosomal RNA". It matches the Rfam family "Bacterial small subunit ribosomal RNA", at positions 28 to 507 of the family's 1533-position model. The record is from RNAcentral.
GACGAACGCUGGCGGCGUGCUUAACACAUGCAAGUCGAACGGAAAGGCCCUGCUUUUGUGGGGUGCUCGAGUGGCGAACGGGUGAGUAACACGUGAGUAACCUGCCCUUGACUUUGGGAUAACUUCAGGAAACUGGGGCUAAUACCGGAUAGGAGCUCCUGCUGCAUGGUGGGGGUUGGAAAGUUUCGGCGGUUGGGGAUGGACUCGCGGCUUAUCAGCUUGUUGGUGGGGUAGUGGCUUACCAAGGCUUUGACGGGUAGCCGGCCUGAGAGGGUGACCGGCCACAUUGGCACUGAGCUACGGCCCAGACUCCUACGGGAGGCAGCAGUGGGGAAUAUUGCACAAUGGGCGGAAGCCUGAUGCAGCAACGCCGCGUGCGGGAUGACGGCCUUCGGGUUGUAAACCGCUUUCGCCUGUGACGAAGCGUGAGUGACGGUAAUGGGUAAAGAAGCACCGGCUAACUACGUG